This 74-nucleotide transfer RNA is filed under the name Picobiliphyte sp. MS584-11. Its description in RNAcentral is "tRNA-Arg". It matches the Rfam family "tRNA". Rfam says of the family: Transfer RNA (tRNA) molecules are approximately 80 nucleotides in length. Their secondary structure includes four short double-helical elements and three loops (D, anti-codon, and T loops). The record is from RNAcentral. Lineage: Eukaryota; Picozoa.
GCGUUUUUAGCUCAAUUGGAUAGAGCACCAGUUUUCGAAACUGUAGGUUACAAGUUCGAGUCUUGUAAAGCGCU